CUUUAGGCUUCACUAGAAGCCACCAAAACUAUUUUUCCCGCCAAGU
Non-coding RNA from Eimeria tenella, 46 nucleotides. The record is from Rfam. Lineage: Eukaryota; Apicomplexa; Conoidasida; Eucoccidiorida; Eimeriidae.